CUGGAUUCGCUAGUAAUCGCGCAUCAGCCACGGCGCGGUGAAUACGUUCCCGGGCCUUGUACACACCGCCCGUCAAGCCAUGGAAGCCGGGAGUGCCUGAAGUGUGCAACCGCAAGGAGCGCCCUAAGGUAAAACCGGUGACUGGGGCUAAGUCGUAACAAGGUAAC
Molecule: ribosomal RNA, 167 nt
Filed under: uncultured bacterium
Lineage: Bacteria
Description: partial 16S ribosomal RNA
Rfam family: Bacterial small subunit ribosomal RNA
Source: RNAcentral